This 332-nucleotide ribosomal RNA is filed under the name uncultured eukaryote. RNAcentral describes it as "partial 18S ribosomal RNA". It matches the Rfam family "Eukaryotic small subunit ribosomal RNA", at positions 1470 to 1796 of the family's 1831-position model. The record is from RNAcentral.
CCCUUAGAUGUUCUGGGCCGCACGCGCGCUACACUGUUCGACGCAGCGAGUCUUAACCUUGACCGAAAGGUUUGGGUAAUCUUCAGCAAAGUCGAACGUGAUGGGGAUCGAUCAUUGCAAUUAUUGAUCGUGAACGAGGAAUUCCUAGUAAGUGCAAGUCAUCAGCUUGCGCUGAUUACGUCCCUGCCCUUUGUACACACCGCCCGUCGCUACUACCGAUUGAAUGGUUUAGUGAGAUCUCUGGAUUGACGCUGGCUGGGGGGCGACCCUUGGCCAGACUGCUCGAGAAACUGCUCAAACUUGAUCAUUUAGAGGAAGUAAAAGUCGUAACA